AUGUAUGCAGAUACAGGUAUAUUACUUUUUUGGCCGAGUGGUAUGCAGAUGCCGUCCUCCGCGCUGUACGGGGAGGCGGACACCGGGAAGCGCCAGACGGUGUGGAUGAGCCACGGCGAUGAGGUGGUCAAGCUCCCGCAGGGGUUUGAGGUGGUUGCACGCAGCGUCCAGGGCGCCGUUACACAUUCGCCCCAAGGAAUGGAAACACUUCGUCUCUUUCUCUUUGAUGUAUGUGGAAUCAAAGCUGAUUGGAAGAUGCAAGAUGUGCUGGAUGAAGAAAUCAAGACCAUCCAAACCAUGGUUGGCCCUGAUGAGCAUGUUGUCUGUGCUUUGUCAGGUGGAGUCGAUUCAACUGUUGCUGCCACUCUUGUUCACAAGGCAAUCGGAGAUAGGCUUCAUUGUGUUUUUGUUGACAAUGGUCUCUUAAGGUACAAGGAGAAAGAACGAGUAAUGUCAACCUUUGAAAGUGACUUGCACCUGCCAGUUACAUGUGUUGAUGCCUCAGAGCAAUUUCUCAGCAAGUUGAAGGGUGUCGAAGACCCAGAGAAGAAAAGAAAGAUUAUUGGCAGGGAAUUCAUAGCUGUUUUUGAUGAUUUUGGUCACAAGCUGGAACAGAAGAUUGGGAAAAGGCCUGAGUUUUUAGUUCAAGGGACAUUGUACCCUGAUGUAAUUGAAUCAUGCCCACCUCCUGGGAGUGGAAGGACACAAUCCCAUACCAUCAAAAGCCAUCACAAUGUUCGGAAGUUGGGGAGUAUUUUGAAUGUCCCAGAUUCAUUUUUAAAGCGACACCCAUUUCCUGGGCCUGGUCUUGCUGUACGUGUCCUAGGUGAUGUUACACGCUUUGGACACUCUUCGUCAGCUUUUGCUGUGUUCUUACCAGUACAGACAGUUGGGGUUCAGGGUGACCAGCGAACCCACUCCAAUGCUGUUGUCUUAAGGGCAAUCACCAGUGAGGAUGGCAUGACUGCAGAUUGGUACUAUUUUGGCCAUGAAUUCCUAGUAGAUGUGGUCAACAAGAUCUGCAACAACGUGCGUGGCAUCAACCGUGUUUGCCAGGACAUCGCAUCAUAG
This 1071-nucleotide ribosomal RNA is filed under the name Triticum aestivum (bread wheat). RNAcentral's name for it is "partial small subunit ribosomal RNA". The record is from RNAcentral. Lineage: Eukaryota; Viridiplantae; Streptophyta; Magnoliopsida; Poales; Poaceae.